UACAGAGGUGGCAAGCGUUGUUCGGAAUUACUGGGCGUAAAGGGCGCGUAGGCGGUCCCGUCAGUCCCUUGUGAAAUCCCCCGGCUCAACUGGGGAACUGCAAGGGAUACAGCGGGGCUUGAGUUCGGGAGAGGGAAGCGGAAUUCCGGGUGUAGCGGUGAAAUACGUAGAUAUCCGGAGGAACACCGGUGGCGAAGGCGGCAUCCUGGACCGGCAUUGACGCUGAGGCGCGAAAGCCAGGGGAGCAAACGGG
This 253-nucleotide ribosomal RNA is filed under the name uncultured bacterium. RNAcentral describes it as "partial 16S ribosomal RNA". It matches the Rfam family "Bacterial small subunit ribosomal RNA", at positions 524 to 776 of the family's 1533-position model. The record is from RNAcentral.